CUUAUUAAAUUGCUUAGGUCCUCACUAAUUUGCUGAAACUAGCAUUGAAAUCAUGGUCCUCCUGCCUCAGCCUCCUAAAUUGCUGGGAUCACAGGCAGGCACCUCCGCAGCCUGCUAAAUUUCUUCACAUUCUGGUUCACUGAGGCUUCUUUAUACCUGAGUUCCCAUGUGGAACUUGGAAUGAUCAUAUCUUAGGAGCUUGUAAGCCUUGUGGAUUUGCGGUGAGUUAUGGGGAUUACCAAUAUCAGAUUUAUAGACCUGCUGAACCAUCCCUCUGAAACCCAGCCUUCCAAUGGAUACAGCUCUCAACUAAGCUUCUCAGGGGCUUGGGAAAUUUCCAUUUGAACCAAGCUGUUAGUGUGGUAAAUGGAGUGCUUUGGGAAAUUUCCAUGUUGUGGCGGGGGGAUCUGAUAUCU
RNAcentral lists this long non-coding RNA (416 nucleotides) under Marmota monax (woodchuck). Lineage: Eukaryota; Metazoa; Chordata; Mammalia; Rodentia; Sciuridae. The record is from RNAcentral.